GCGAAGGUGGUGGAAUUGGUAGACACGCUAGCUUGAGGGGCUAGUGGCCAUUGCGGCCGUGGGGGUUCGAGUCCCCCUCUUCGCACCA
This 88-nucleotide transfer RNA is filed under the name Deltaproteobacteria bacterium. RNAcentral describes it as "tRNA-Leu". It matches the Rfam family "tRNA". Rfam says of the family: Transfer RNA (tRNA) molecules are approximately 80 nucleotides in length. Their secondary structure includes four short double-helical elements and three loops (D, anti-codon, and T loops). Lineage: Bacteria; Pseudomonadati; Myxococcota; Myxococcia. The record is from RNAcentral.